Molecule: ribosomal RNA, 434 nt
Filed under: uncultured bacterium
Lineage: Bacteria
Description: partial 16S ribosomal RNA
Rfam family: Bacterial small subunit ribosomal RNA
Source: RNAcentral
AGCGAACGCUGGCGGCAGGCCUAACACAUGCAAGUCGAACGAACCUUUCGGGGUUAGUGGCGGACGGGUGAGUAACACGUGGGAACGUGCCUUUAGGUUCGGAAUAACUCAGGGAAACUUGUGCUAAUACCGAAUGUGCCCUUCGGGGGAAAGAUUUAUCGCCUUUAGAGCGGCCCGCGUCUGAUUAGCUAGUUGGUUGAGGUAAUGGCUCACCAAGGCGACGAUCAGUAGAUGGUCUGAGAGGAUGAUCAGCCACAUUGGGACUGAGACACGGCCCAAACUCCUACGGGAGGCAGCAGUGGGGAAUCUUGCGAAAUGGGCGAAAGCCUGACGCAGCCAUGCCGCGUGAAUGAUGAAGGUCUUAGGAUUGUAAAAUUCUUUCAACGGGGACGAUAAUGACGGUACCCGGAGAAGAAGCCCCGGCUAACUUCGUG